RNAcentral lists this ribosomal RNA (468 nucleotides) under uncultured bacterium. Its description in RNAcentral is "partial 16S ribosomal RNA". It matches the Rfam family "Bacterial small subunit ribosomal RNA", at positions 28 to 507 of the family's 1533-position model. The record is from RNAcentral.
GACGAACGCUGGCGGCGUGCUUAACACAUGCAAGUCGAACGGAAAGGCCCUGCUUUUGUGGGGUGCUCGAGUGGCGAACGGGUGAGUAACACGUGAGUAACCUGCCCUUGACUUUGGGAUAACUUCAGGAAACUGGGGCUAAUACCGGAUAGGAGCUCCUGCUGCAUGGUGGGGGUUGGAAAGUUUCGGCGGUUGGGGAUGGACUCGCGGCUUAUCAGCUUGUUGGUGGGGUAGUGGCUUACCAAGGCUUUGACGGGUAGCCGGCCUGAGAGGGUGACCGGCCACAUUGGGACUGAGGUACGGCCCAGACUCCUACGGGGGGCAGCAGGGGGGAAUAUUGCACAAUGGGCGGAAGCCUGAUGCAGCAACGCCGCGUGCGGGAUGACGGCCUUCGGGUUGUAAACCGCUUUCGCCUGUGACGAAGCGUGAGUGACGGUAAUGGGUAAAGAAGCACCGGCUAACUACGUG